RNAcentral lists this ribosomal RNA (517 nucleotides) under Bombus trifasciatus. RNAcentral's name for it is "partial 16S ribosomal RNA". The stretch from base 378 to 517 matches the Rfam family "Bacterial large subunit ribosomal RNA", at positions 2473 to 2613 of the family's 2925-position model. Lineage: Eukaryota; Metazoa; Arthropoda; Insecta; Hymenoptera; Apidae. The record is from RNAcentral.
GGCCUAUUGAAUAUAAUUUUAGGUCGAUCUGCCCAAUGAUUUUAAAUUUAAUGGCUGCGGUAUUUUGACUGUACAAAGGUAGCAUAAUCAAUUGUUUUUUAAUUGGAAACUGGAAUGAAAGAAUUAAUGAGAUAUAUACUGUCUCAUAUAUAAUAAAUGAAUUUAAAUUUUUAGUUAAAAUGCUUAAAUUAUUUUAUGGGACGAUAAGACCCUAUAGAAUUUUAUAUUAAUAUAAAUAGUUAUGUUUAUAAAAUUUUUAUAUUAAUAUUUAGUUGGGAGGAUUAGUAAAUUUAAGAAACUUUACUUUAAAUUUAAACUUUGAUUUAAGAAUUUUUUUUUGAUCUUGUAUUAUAAAAAUAAGAGUAAAUUACCUUAGGGAUAACAGCGUAAUAUCUUUUUAAAGGUCAUAUUAAUAAAGAUGAUUGCGACCUCGAUGUUGAAUUAAGAUAAAUUUUAGAUGGAGAAGUCUAAAAAUUAAGUCUGUUCGACUUUUAGAAUCUUACAUGAUUUGAGUUCA